GUACUCUUCGUAAAAAGAGAGAGAAAAAGAAAGAAGAACAACGUGAUGAAAAAUAUGAAUCUUUCAACCAACCAAACAGUUCAUUUCGCCAUAAAACGUUUGAAACUGAUCCAAAAACCGAGAGCCGUCGCGCGAUAUUGUCAGGCUUAACACCAUACGUCCGGGGAUUAUUGCUUUCACGUAUUCCACAGAGUUCAUUCAUUUUUAUCCCACUUAAUUUAGACCUCGUAGCCGUGUCCAUUCCCCCAGUUUCGUUCUCUUUGAGCAAAGCAAACAAACAUAGCUGGGGAAAGCGGCGGAUCGCUCGAAUUCGCAUCGAAAUCCCGCCAAUUUCGAUGGGUUGCACUUUCUCCCAGGUUCACGGACGUUCCUCUCAAACUUCUUUCUUUACCCGUCAGUCGCAUCGCGAUCGGCAAAGUUUAAAGUCGAUCCAGACGACACGGAACGUUUACGAAGCAAGCGUGCAAGAAGCAAUUAACCCUUCGCGUUCUGGGACAGAAAAAGGUUAUCGAUGCCAUGACCUGAAACGUCUUAAAAUGAUGCCUGGAAUAUCCUGCGGAAUUAAGGGAAUUUAUGUCCCCUGAAUAUUAAUAGAAGUGGAUUGAAAAUUGUAAAAAUUUUAAAUAUUCUAAAAAUCAUGUAUACUUAAUGUUAGAAUACAUGAUCUGUAGUAUAUAUGUAUUAAUUUUAGAUAAAGCGAAGUAUAAAUGUAAUGGAACUGUCUCACUUUGAAAUGCAAGAUCGGUGACCUAAAAAUUUUACUAAUCCGAAGGAUCUCGUUUCAUCUAUAUAAAAAGUAAUGAGAGCAGAUCGACAAAGAUCGGUUACAGAUCGUAUAUAAAAUCAAAGAAUAAGCAUUGUCGAGGAAUUUUACUACUUUCACCCGAUUUUCUCCACUAUUCUUCUUCAAAAUUCAAAAACAAUGCUGGUAACACGAAUAACCAUGCGUAACAUUAUUUCAAAAAGGAUUUUAGAAUCACUUGAAAUUAUAAUGAUCUAAGUAUACUUAAACAUAGUAUUGGAGGUUGUUAAAAUACAGCUGAUCGCUAAAGCAGUUCGUGGAAGACUGAUUAGAUGAAAUUAUGUAAAUUGCUAUGAAACAUUGCCAAUAAAUGGUUAACCUAAUCAUUCCAUCGUUACGCUUCACGACAGAAGCCUCCCUUUUCUCUCAAUUUUAUUUACAUAGGAAUCAGAGGCUUAUCUUUCCAAUGGUAGCAUAAGAUGGCCGGAUAAGAAGCUGGCAAGAGAAAGGAAACGAAGGUUCUAAGGUGAAAGCUGAAUAAAUUCCAUCGUUGCUCUUGUAUUCUAUUAUUUUAAUCUUUUUUAUCCGGAAGAUUCAUCGGCUGUGAAUUAGUGGGAACUUCUGGUGAAACUAUAUAUACGACUUCAAUUAUGACACGCACCGGAAGUUGAAGAAUCUUGCGCUCGAAAGCGCGUUAAAUUUUCAGGAAAUUGAAAUAAUUGCUUCGAGUAAAGGCGAUAAAUUAAUUUUGAGAAUCUGAAAAUAAUUUGUUAGUUUGGAUAUGUAUUUUAUAACUUAAUUUGCCUAUCUUUUCUGUCGAAAUCAAAAAUUUAAUAUAAGAUUGAUUUAUCUAAGAAUUAAGAGGUUAAUUUUCAAUUUGACACGAUAUUUUGAUAAGACGAAGAGAUUUUUCUGAACCUGAAGAACAUACACGACGAGGAACAUGAAGUGUUCUGCUCGCAUAUAUGCUGCACGUGACUAAAAUACACUUCCUUGCUUGGUCGAGUCAAAAAUAAAAAUACAACUCGUUGACGAUCGAUUUCGAUGUUCUGGAAUCGAGACAAAAAUUUCACUUUCGUAAAAAUUGUUGUCUAAGAAUUAAAAAUUCAAAUUUUCUUUUCUAAAAGUAAAAAUAAUUAAUUAACAAAAAAUAUUUAUUAGAUAAUAAUAAUUAUCAAAUUACGAAUUAUAAUUAUUGAUGAAUUAUUUCAUACAUUUAUUUAAUAUAUAUAUGAUAAAAUCACAAACGAUUUUUUAUUUGAAAAUUUUUAUGUAUAACUUAAUAUAAUGUAAAAACGAUAUAUAUAUAUUUAUUUUCAUAAAUAAAAAUUAAAACAAAA
Long non-coding RNA from Apis dorsata (giant honeybee), 2082 nucleotides. RefSeq lists it as uncharacterized. The record is from RefSeq and is a predicted model, not a curated record. NCBI's taxonomy places the organism in Eukaryota, Metazoa, Arthropoda, Insecta, Hymenoptera, Apidae. The transcript has 3 exons.